Molecule: ribosomal RNA, 342 nt
Filed under: uncultured Fusibacter sp.
Lineage: Bacteria; Bacillati; Bacillota; Clostridia; Eubacteriales; Fusibacteraceae
Description: bacterial SSU rRNA
Rfam family: Bacterial small subunit ribosomal RNA
Source: RNAcentral
CGAUCGGUUGUCGUCAGCUCGUGUCGUGAGAUGUUGGGUUAAGUCCCGCAACGAGCGCAACCCUUGUGUUUAGUUGCAAACAAGGUCAAGCUGUGCACUCUAGACAGACUGCCGUGGACAACACGGAGGAAGGUGGGGAUGACGUCAAAUCAUCAUGCCCCUUAUGAUCUGGGCUACACACGUGCUACAAUGGCCGGUACAACGGGCAGCGAAGGAGCGAUCCGGAGCGAAUCCUAAAAAGCCGGUCCCAGUUCGGAUUGCAGGCUGAAACUCGCCUACAUGAAGUUGGAGUUGCUAGUAAUCGCGAAUCAGAAUGUCGCGGUGAAUGCGUUCCCGGGUCUU